UUAGGUUAAGAGGAUGCGUCAGUCGCAAGAUGAAGCGUUGAAUUGAAGCCCGAGUAAACGGCGGCCGUAACUAUAACGGUCCUAAGGUAGCGAAAUUCCUUGUCGGUUAAAUACCGACCUGCAUGAAUGGCGUAACGAGAUGGGAGCUGUCUCAACCAGAGAUUCAGUGAAAUUGUAGUGGAGGUGAAAAUUCCUCCUACCCGCGGCAAGACGGAAAGACCCCGUGGACCUUUACUACAACUUAGCACUGCUAAUGGGAAUAUCAUGCG
This 269-nucleotide ribosomal RNA is filed under the name Helicobacter pylori. RNAcentral's name for it is "partial 23S ribosomal RNA". It matches the Rfam family "Bacterial large subunit ribosomal RNA", at positions 1872 to 2138 of the family's 2925-position model. The record is from RNAcentral. Lineage: Bacteria; Pseudomonadati; Campylobacterota; Epsilonproteobacteria; Campylobacterales; Helicobacteraceae.